GGACCUGACUGCUAUCGGAUUGAUACUAAGCCAUGCGAGUCAUUGUAGCAAUACAAGGCAUACGGCUCAGUAACGCGUAGUCAACCUAACCUAUGGACGGGAAUAACCUCGGGAAACUGAGAAUAAUGCCCGAUAGAACAUUAUGCCUGGAAUGGUUUAUGUUCCAAAUGAUUUAUCGCCGUAGGAUGGGACUGCGGCCUAUCAGUUUGUUGGUGAGGUAAUGGCCCACCAAGACUAUUACAGGUACGGGCUCUGAGAGGAGUAGCCCGGAGAUGGGUACUGAGACACGGACCCAGGCCCUAUGGGGCGCGAGCGAGGCGAGAAAACUUUGCGAAUGUGCGAAAGCACGACGAAGGUUGAAUCCGAGUGGUUUCUGCUGAAAGAAACCUUUUGUCGGUCCUAGAAACGCUGAUGGAUGAAGGGGUGGGCGAAGUUCUGGUGUCG
RNAcentral lists this ribosomal RNA (444 nucleotides) under uncultured archaeon. RNAcentral describes it as "bacterial SSU rRNA". It matches the Rfam family "Archaeal small subunit ribosomal RNA", at positions 19 to 460 of the family's 1478-position model. The record is from RNAcentral.